Long non-coding RNA from Ipomoea triloba (trilobed morning glory), 925 nucleotides. RefSeq lists it as uncharacterized. NCBI's taxonomy places the organism in Eukaryota, Viridiplantae, Streptophyta, Magnoliopsida, Solanales, Convolvulaceae. The record is from RefSeq and is a predicted model, not a curated record. The transcript has 2 exons.
CAGUCAGCACACUUCACUUUCGGCUCCACUCACCACUCUCCACUCUCCAAGUCUCCAUCCUCCAUCCUCCAUUCCCCCUCUAGUCCUCUUCAAUCUUCAGCACUUCAGCAGGCAGCCCGGCAGCAACCACAGCGAUCGUCGGCGCCCAGACCUCAGACGUCACCAUCGCCGUAACGCCCAGACAGCAACAACCACACGCCCAGACCUCUGCAGCAGCCACCAUCACCAGUUCACCAGAACCGCCGAGGCCACCAGUCCAACACUCCAACCCCGCCGAAGCCACCUUCACCACCACCGUACCCUCUCUCUCUCUCUCACCACCACCGCCGAAGCCACCAGUCCACCACCGACGAAGCCACCAGUACCCCCCUCUCUCUCCCUCUCUCAAUUAAAAAAAAAACAUUUCUCUCUAUUUUUUUUUUGCUAUUCAUUUUUUUCUUAAUUAGUGACUAAUCCUAGUGUUUAAUCCUAAGUAUUCAUUGGUAGUGUUCAUUAAUUUUAACUUCUUGUGAUUUUUUAUAGUAGCAAUUUGUUUUGCAAGUAAAUCCUAGUGUUUAAUCCUAAGUUGUACAGGUGUUGUACCUCUUAACUUGCUAUCUAUGCUUGCUAUAUAUUUGAUAUAUUCAUUACAUUUUUUUGGAGUGUGAACUAUGGAUCUCUUAAAACUUGAUGGAUGCCUACAGGAAAUAUUUGCAGGAGAGACAUAAUUGAGGACCCUCAAUUCUGUGAUAUCUACAAGCACUAGCGAGCAUCUGAGGAUCCACAAAACUCAAGUCGAAAUUGUGGAUUUUCAUUUGUUGCGGAAUCUACAUCUUAUGUUGAAUUUACUUUUUAUGUUUUUGGCUUGUAAGGUUAACAAGUAGUUUCUGUGUAUUUUUUAAUCGUGUUUUCGUUAGUUUUAUUAUAGUUAUGUUGUUUAUUUCAA